RNAcentral lists this ribosomal RNA (417 nucleotides) under Triticum aestivum (bread wheat). RNAcentral describes it as "partial small subunit ribosomal RNA". Lineage: Eukaryota; Viridiplantae; Streptophyta; Magnoliopsida; Poales; Poaceae. The record is from RNAcentral.
AUGGCUCGAACAAAGAUCACAGCUCGUCAGUCCACCGGAGGGAAGGCUCCCACGAAGCAGCUUAGGGCUUUCUAUGCUGCCGCUCGCAAGACUGCUCCCGCAGCCGGAGGAGUCAAGAAGCCUCGUCCAUACCGCCCUGGAACUAUUGCCCUACGUGAAAUACGCAAGUAUCAGAAAGGAACUGAACUGCUCAUAAGGAAGAUGCCCUUUCAUAGGCUUGUCCGGGAGAUUGCUCAGUCUUCCAAGAGUGACCUACGUUUCCAGAGCCGUGCGGUUCUAGCUCUGCAAGAGGCGGCGGAAGCGUACCUAGUGGGUCUGUUUGAGGACACCAAUCUAUGUGUUGUCCAUGCCAAGCGUGUGACCAUCAUGUCUAAAAACAUUCAACUGGCUAGGAGGAUCCGUGGUGAAAGAAUGUAA